RNAcentral lists this ribosomal RNA (230 nucleotides) under uncultured bacterium. RNAcentral's name for it is "partial 16S ribosomal RNA". It matches the Rfam family "Bacterial small subunit ribosomal RNA", at positions 118 to 350 of the family's 1533-position model. The record is from RNAcentral.
UGGGCAACCUGCCCUCAGCUCUGGGAUAACUCCGGGAAACCAGGGCUAAUACCGGAUACGACCUUCCCUGGCAUCGGGGUGGGUGGAAAGUUCUUCGGCUGAGGAUGGGCCCGCGGCCUAUCAGCUUGUUGGUGGGGUGACGGCCUACCAAGGCGACGACGGGUAGCCGGCCUGAGAGGGCGACCGGCCACACUGGGACUGAGACACGGCCCAGACUCCUACGGGAGGCA